RNAcentral lists this ribosomal RNA (426 nucleotides) under uncultured bacterium. RNAcentral describes it as "bacterial SSU rRNA". It matches the Rfam family "Bacterial small subunit ribosomal RNA", at positions 376 to 793 of the family's 1533-position model. The record is from RNAcentral.
CGCAAGCCUGAUGCAGCCAUGCCGCGUGUGUGAAGAAGGCCUUCGGGUUGUAAAGCACUUUCAGUCGUGAGGAAGGUAGUGUAGUUAAUAGCUGCAUUAUUUGACGUUUAGCGACAGAAGAAGCACCGGCUAACUCCGUGCCAGCAGCCGCGGUAAUACGGAGGGUGCGAGCGUUAAUCGGAAUUACUGGGCGUAAAGCGCAUGCAGGUGGUUUGUUAAGUCAGAUGUGAAAGCCCGGGGCUCAACCUCGGAAUUGCAUUUGAAACUGGCAGACUAGAGUACUGUAGAGGGGGUAGAAUUUCAGGUGUAGCGGUGAAAAUGCGUAGAGAUCUGAAGGAAUACCGGUGGCGAAGGCGGCCCCCUGGACAGAUACUGACACUCAGAUGCGAAAGCGUGGGGAGCAAACAGGAUUAGAUACCCUGGUAG